This is a long non-coding RNA of Parus major (Great Tit), 678 nucleotides long. RefSeq lists it as uncharacterized. Lineage: Eukaryota; Metazoa; Chordata; Aves; Passeriformes; Paridae. The record is from RefSeq and is a predicted model, not a curated record. The transcript is spliced from 3 exons.
GAGUCUGAGUGUGCCGGGUUCUGGUGUCAACAAUGGAGUCACCACUGCUCAGGGGGUGCAGGCUGCACAAGCCUACAUUUUCCCCAGGUUUCAGCUUGCUGUGUCUGAGGCUUUUUCCACCCAGCAUAUAAAGGGUGCAGAGAAACACAGGGUCAGAACAGGUAUGGAAUGGGUUCUUGCUGCUUUGACACACAUGGGGUGAUCACACAUGUGUGACCACACAACCUCACAGGCUGCUCCCAAGAGCUCCCUCCUUUCCCAGGGGAACAAGAACAUCCUGGAAAGUUUUCCCUCCCUGUGCUGCCAUACCAGAGGUCAGGCACGAGGAAGCAAGAGCCAGGGCCAAAGCCACCUGCCAGUGUACUCACCCUAUACCCAGCCAACUCUCUAAGGAUGAGGGAAGCAGGUGGGCAGGAGUUAGCUCCUUCAGCCAGGUCUGACAUCACACUUCUGGCUUCUGAGAACUGCCAGAGAGCACUGCAGGUAUGUGCCAGAUGGAUGAGACCUGAAAGAAGCCCCUCAAAAUCUGAGCUUAAUCAUGCCUGACACCUCCAGGAGGUCUGGCAGCUGUCUGCAGAAUGGGAACAUGGGAAUUCCCUCUGGAGAGAACAGAAGGUGGAAUGGGCGGCAUGGGAAGCCUGGGCUGCUGGGGAGGACCAAGAGAUGCUGCAGGUAGGG